RNAcentral lists this ribosomal RNA (695 nucleotides) under uncultured fungus. Its description in RNAcentral is "eukaryotic LSU rRNA". It matches the Rfam family "Eukaryotic large subunit ribosomal RNA", at positions 81 to 617 of the family's 3401-position model. Lineage: Eukaryota; Fungi. The record is from RNAcentral.
UAGUAACGGCGAGUGAAGCGGGAAGAGCUCAAGAUAAGAAUUGAUACGGGUUAACUCCCAUACCAAAUUGUGAUCUUGCGACUCAGUACUAGGCUAGAAAGACAAGUAAAAGUAUGCUGGAACGCAUCGCCGUGGAAGGUUAAAGCCCUGUUCAUUGCUUGUUAAAUUAAAUCUGCCAGACGGUCUGGGUUCAUCGAGUCGCGUUGCUUGGGAGUGCAGCGCAAAGUGGGAGGUACAGAUCUUCUAAAGCUAAAUAUUGGCGAGAGACCGAUAGCGAACAAGUACCGUGAGGGAAAGAUGAAAUAGCACCUGGAAACGGGAGUGAAAUCAGAGCUUGAAAUUGUUAAGAGACAAAAGCUGGGGAGACUUUCAAAUUGAUUUAUCAAUUAUGCUUUGUGUCUGGAUGUCGAAAGGCUUACUGGAUACGUUUUAAAGCCGUCAACGCGGCUGAUUUGUGAGAUCUCGAUAGUAGUUCAAGGUAGUUUGCAUCACGGCGGCCAGCCGGAUUGAUGUACUCCAAACACAUAUAAGAAUUAUUAUCACACAAGGUAUCUCAAAAUCAGUCGUCUGGAUAAAACCAGAUAGACUCGCUACUGCGGGUGGGGACUGCUUGUAUAAGUCCAUCGCGGUGGGGAAUUCGUUCCACGCCGUAACUAUACAGGUACUAUGCCCGCCCCUGAGGUUUAAGGUCUAGU